AAACACACACUCUGCAUUAUAUACACACUCUGCAUUAUAUACACAUAGUGUGUGUAUAUAAUGCAGAGUGUGUGUUU
Non-coding RNA from Pelobates cultripes (western spadefoot toad), 77 nucleotides. Lineage: Eukaryota; Metazoa; Chordata; Amphibia; Anura; Pelobatidae. The record is from the annotation of a GenBank genome assembly.